RNAcentral lists this ribosomal RNA (415 nucleotides) under uncultured bacterium. RNAcentral describes it as "bacterial SSU rRNA". It matches the Rfam family "Bacterial small subunit ribosomal RNA", at positions 355 to 787 of the family's 1533-position model. The record is from RNAcentral.
UGGGGAGUAUUGCACAAUGGGGAAGACCCUGAUGCAGCGACGCCGCGUGUGGGAAGACGGUCCUCUGGAUUGUAAACCACUGUCCCCAGGGACGAAGAUGACGGUACCUGGGGAGGAAGCUCCGGCUAACUACGUGCCAGCAGCCGCGGUAAUACGUAGGGAGCAAGCGUUGUCCGGAAUUACUGGGUGUAAAGGGAGCGUAGGCGGGGAUGCAAGUUGGGUGUCAAAACUAAUCGGCUCACUGAUAGUCGCACUCAAAACUGCAGCUCUUGAGUGAAGUAGAGGCAGGCGGAAUUCCUAGUGUAGCGGUGAAAUGCGUAGAUAUUAGGAGGAACACCAGUGGCGAAGGCGGCCUGCUGGGCUUUUACUGACGCUGAGGCUCGAAAGUGUGGGGAGCAAACAGGAUUAGAUACCC